GGAGAGGUGCCCGAGAGGACAAAGGGCGCCGGUUGGAAACCGGAUGGCCGCAGCGAUGUGGCACCAGAGUUCGAAUCUCUGUCUCUCCGCCA
This 92-nucleotide transfer RNA is filed under the name Azoarcus sp. RNAcentral's name for it is "tRNA-Ser". It matches the Rfam family "tRNA". From Rfam's summary of the family: Transfer RNA (tRNA) molecules are approximately 80 nucleotides in length. Their secondary structure includes four short double-helical elements and three loops (D, anti-codon, and T loops). Further hydrogen bonds mediate the characteristic L-shaped molecular structure. tRNAs have two regions of fundamental functional importance: the anti-codon, which is responsible for specific mRNA codon recognition, and the 3' end, to which the tRNAs corresponding amino acid is attached (by aminoacyl-tRNA synthetases). tRNAs cope with the degeneracy of the genetic code in two manners: having more than one tRNA (with a specific anti-codon) for a particular amino acid; and 'wobble' base-pairing, i.e. permitting non-standard base-pairing at the 3rd anti-codon position. Lineage: Bacteria; Pseudomonadati; Pseudomonadota; Betaproteobacteria; Rhodocyclales; Zoogloeaceae. The record is from RNAcentral.